UGGGUCAUGAAGGAGAAGAUGAUGCAGACGCCCAGCAGGAGGCAGCCGAACAGCAGGAACUCUUUCCACUGAGGAAAUGUCACACAAAAAGUGCGAUACCUGCUCCAGUCCAGCCCCCUCGGCCACAAUCAGAACGAUCACGUUUCCGAACGCGACCGUGAGCAGCCAGCCGGCCUGCAGCACCGACUUCAUGCUGUUCGGAGCCUGGAGGACAAAACGGCAUAUAGGAAACCGAUGGCAGAAUGAGCUGCACGUACCUGCAUCUGGUCGGGCUUAAUUGUGAAGGAUUCUCCCUGUUAUGACACA
Molecule: long non-coding RNA, 306 nt
Organism: Poecilia latipinna (sailfin molly)
Lineage: Eukaryota; Metazoa; Chordata; Actinopteri; Cyprinodontiformes; Poeciliidae
Exons: 3
Source: RefSeq, a predicted model, not a curated record